RNAcentral lists this ribosomal RNA (381 nucleotides) under uncultured bacterium. RNAcentral describes it as "bacterial SSU rRNA". It matches the Rfam family "Archaeal small subunit ribosomal RNA", at positions 473 to 853 of the family's 1478-position model. The record is from RNAcentral. RNAcentral also lists the same sequence under 1 other name.
AUACCGGCGGCUCGAGUGAUGACCGAUUUUAUUGGGCCUAAAGCGUCCGUAGCUGGCCAUGCAAGUCCGUCGGGAAAUCCACCUGCUUAACAGGUGGGCGUCCGGCGGAAACUGCACGGCUUGGGACAGGAAGGCUCGAGGGGUACGUUCGGGGUAGGAGUGAAAUCCCGUAAUCCUGAACGGACCACCGAUGGCGAAAGCACCUCGAGAGGACUGAUCCGACAGUGAGGGACGAAAGCUGGGGUCUCGAACCGGAUUAGAUACCCGGGUAGUCCCAGCUGUAAACGAUGUUCGCUAGGUGUGUCACUCACUACGAGUGAGUGAUGUGCCGCAGGGAAGCCGCUAAGCGAACCGCCUGGGAAGUACGUCUGCAAGGAUGAA